CCUACGGGGGGCAGCAGUGAGGAAUAUUGGUCAAUGGACGAGAGUCUGAACCAGCCAAGUAGCGUGAAGGAUGACUGCCCUAUGGGUUGUAAACUUCUUUUAUAUGGGAAUAAAAUGUUCCACGUGUGGGAUUUUGUAUGUACCAUAUGAAUAAGGAUCGGCUAACUCCGUGCCAGCAGCCGCGGUAAUACGGAGGAUCCGAGCGUUAUCCGGAUUUAUUGGGUUUAAAGGGAGCGUAGGUGGAUUGUUAAGUCAGUUGUGAAAGUUUGCGGCUCAACCGUAAAAUUGCAGUUGAAACUGGCAGUCUUGAGUACAGUAGAGGUGGGCGGAAUUCGUGGUGUAGCGGUGAAAUGCUUAGAUAUCACGAAGAACUCCGAUUGCGAAGGCAGUUCACUGGACUGCAACUGACACUGAGGUUCGAAAGUGUGGGUAUCAAACAGGAUUAGAUACCCUAGUAGUC
RNAcentral lists this ribosomal RNA (460 nucleotides) under uncultured bacterium. RNAcentral's name for it is "partial 16S ribosomal RNA". It matches the Rfam family "Bacterial small subunit ribosomal RNA", at positions 338 to 795 of the family's 1533-position model. The record is from RNAcentral.